Molecule: long non-coding RNA, 684 nt
Filed under: Macaca nemestrina (pig-tailed macaque)
Lineage: Eukaryota; Metazoa; Chordata; Mammalia; Primates; Cercopithecidae
Description: lncRNA (ENSMNEG00000045905.1)
Source: RNAcentral
AGGUUUUCAAACUUGAUGCCUCUGAUAUGACAGAUACUGAUGAUAACAUUUUUGAGGAGAUAGAGAAAGUUGUUAAAAUUCCAGAAAAUCACAAUUUUGAUUGGCAGUGGAUUAUCUUAGAUGGCCCAGUGGACACCUUUUGGGUAGAAAAUCUGAACUCUGUGCUAGAUGAUACUAGAACAUUAUGCCUAGCAAACAGUGAGAGAAUCGCUUUAACUAAUAAAAUAAGAGUGAUUUUUGAAGUGGACAGUCUCUCUCAGGCCAGUCCUGCUACUGUCAGCCGAUGUGCCAUGGUCUAUAUGGAUCCUGUUGAUCUGGGAUGGGAGCCUUAUGUUAAGUCAUGGCUUCUGAAAACUUCUAAAAUUAUAAGUCAAUCAGGAGUGGAUUGUCUUGAAUUCAUGAUUAAAAAUAGUGUCACAGACGGACUACAAUUUAUAAAGAAUCGUCAGAAAUUUCAGCCAUAUCCUAUGGAGGACAUAACAAUCAUCAUAACCCUCUGCAGAAUUCUUGAUGCUUUCUUUGACGUCAUGGGUAAAAAUGGAGGAUUUGAACAAAGUGAGUUUUUCUCUCUAAGUCAUGUCAAUGAUACAUCUUAACUAGUCAAUGCCAAUUUAUCACCUUAUAUUAGAUUUUAGAAAAUUUCUCAAAGAGCAAGCAUUUUUAGUCUAUUUGGACCAACAGCAG